UGAUUUUAAAUUAUAGCCAAAUUCUGCUCUGCCCUAAACAAGACUAUGCUAAAUUCAUAUAUAUGAUGGAUCGAUUGUAGUAUUUACUCAAAUUCUGCAAUUCGGUAGAAUUUCUUAAGGUUGAGCUAAUGUAUCGAAUGGUUUUGAAUUCUCCAAACCCUAUAACACCGUUGUGAUGUGGAUCUCCAAUCAGCAAAAAAAUGCAAUGUUAUUAAGAAUUUCAAUAGUGAAAAAAUUUCACAAUUUCAGGCUGAGACAAGUUGCAAUUAUUAGUGGUAUCAGAGAACAAUUUCAUUAUGAUAUUUUAAAUUUAAGAGAUGAACUUUAUUGUAAAUGCCUUAUGACUAUUUCUCAAUGAAAUUUAUUUCUUUGCUCUAAAAAAACAUUAUGUUUGUCUUCUACUGAUAGGAAAAGAAAUAUGACUGAGAGACACAUACCAGCACUUCCCCACAA
This 453-nucleotide unclassified non-coding RNA is filed under the name Hevea brasiliensis (rubber tree). The record is from RNAcentral. Lineage: Eukaryota; Viridiplantae; Streptophyta; Magnoliopsida; Malpighiales; Euphorbiaceae.